UAGGGAAUCUUCCACAAUGGACGAAAGUCUGAUGGAGCAACGCCGCGUGAGUGAUGAAGGGUUUCGGCUCGUAAAACUCUGUUGUUGGAGAAGAACGGGUGUCAGAGUAACUGUUGACAUCGUGACGGUAUCCAACCAGAAAGCCACGGCUAACUACGUGCCAGCAGCCGCGGUAAUACGUAGGUGGCAAGCGUUGUCCGGAUUUAUUGGGCGUAAAGCGAGCGCAGGCGGUUUUUUAGGUCUGAUGUGAAAGCCUUCGGCUUAACCGGAGAAAGUGCAUCGGAAACCGGGAGACUUGAGUGCAGAAGAGGACAGUGGAACUCCAUGUGUAGCGGUGAAAUGCGUAGAUAUAUGGAAGAACACCAGUGGCGAAGGCGGCUGUCUGGUCUGCAAACUGACGCUGAGGCUCGAAAGCAUGGGUAGCGAACAGGAUUAGAUACCCUGGUAGUCCAUGCCGUAAAACGAUGAGUGC
This 472-nucleotide ribosomal RNA is filed under the name uncultured bacterium. RNAcentral describes it as "partial 16S ribosomal RNA". It matches the Rfam family "Bacterial small subunit ribosomal RNA", at positions 355 to 816 of the family's 1533-position model. The record is from RNAcentral.